RNAcentral lists this ribosomal RNA (390 nucleotides) under uncultured bacterium. RNAcentral's name for it is "bacterial SSU rRNA". It matches the Rfam family "Bacterial small subunit ribosomal RNA", at positions 28 to 418 of the family's 1533-position model. The record is from RNAcentral.
GACGAACGCUGGCGGCGUGCUUAACACAUGCAAGUCGAGCGGUAAGGCCCUUUCGGGGGUACGACGAGCGGCGAACGGGUGAGUAACACGUGGGUGACCUGCCCUCAGCUCUGGGAUAAGCCUGGGAAACCGGGUCUAAUACCGGAUAUGACUCCAUGACGCAUGUUGUGGGGUGGAAAGCCUUGUGCGGCUGAGGAUGGGCCCGCGGCCUAUCAGCUUGUUGGUGGGGUGAUGGCCUACCAAGGCGACGACGGGUAGCCGGCCUGAGAGGGCGACCGGCCACACUGGGACUGAGACACGGCCCAGACUCCUACGGGAGGCAGCAGUGGGGAAUCUUGCGCAAUGGGCGAAAGCCUGACGCAGCGACGCCGCGUGAGGGAUGACGGCUGU